ACUAAGUCACAAGGCAACCCUCAUGAUCCCCGGGCAAAAGGGUAGCUCUGUUUUUAAACCCGGAGGAGGCAUCUUCCCCCGGGGGUUGCCGGGCUUCUGUUCCUGUGUGUGUUGGUCUCCAGGAAGCCAUGGAGAGCUUGGCAGCAGAGACAGAGUCUCGAUAUGUCGCCAAGCUUGGUCUCAAACUCCAAGGCUCAAGUGCUCAAGUGAUCCACCCACCUCGACCUCCCAAAGUGCUGGGAUUACAGGUAUGAGCCACCACAUCCAACCAACAUCCAUUUUUAUGUGUACAUGUGUAAAGGAAAAUAGUAAUUGAGCAUCAGACAUCACCACUCCUGAAAAAAACCUUCUACAAG
This 356-nucleotide long non-coding RNA is filed under the name Homo sapiens (human). RNAcentral's name for it is "non-protein coding lnc-ARSD-2:4". Lineage: Eukaryota; Metazoa; Chordata; Mammalia; Primates; Hominidae. The record is from RNAcentral.